AUGGGAGGGGAGGAGUAACAAAAGUGAAAACAAAAACUUGAAAGGGAAAACAAUUUCAAAUAGAUUUCAAAUUUUAGUUUUUGUUUUCACUUUUGUUACUCCUCUUUCACAU
Molecule: microRNA precursor, 112 nt
Filed under: Prunus dulcis (almond)
Lineage: Eukaryota; Viridiplantae; Streptophyta; Magnoliopsida; Rosales; Rosaceae
Description: sRNA ncRNA
Source: RNAcentral